This 203-nucleotide long non-coding RNA is filed under the name Musa acuminata (dwarf banana). RNAcentral describes it as "long non-coding RNA (MACU_LNC008057)". Lineage: Eukaryota; Viridiplantae; Streptophyta; Magnoliopsida; Zingiberales; Musaceae. The record is from RNAcentral.
GCAAACUUCCGUCGAUCAUCCGAUGAACCCUUGGUGAUGCUCCUGCGGACUUCCGGCAAACUCCUGGACUUGCGGCGAUCCACUUGGCGAGUUCCGACGAGCUUCUUUUGGCAAGCUCUUGGACUUCUCGGAUUUGUUCUCGCAGAACCUUCGACGAUCGUCCAAACUUCCGUCGAACUCUCAAACUCCCAACGUGAUCAUAG